This 6809-nucleotide long non-coding RNA is filed under the name Sorghum bicolor (sorghum). RNAcentral's name for it is "long non-coding RNA (SBIC_LNC003319)". The record is from RNAcentral. Lineage: Eukaryota; Viridiplantae; Streptophyta; Magnoliopsida; Poales; Poaceae.
AUCGGAGAGAGUUUGGAAGAGGGCGGCAGCACGUCGAGGCAGAGCUUUGCGUUCCUGCGAAGCUCGGCGAGCAAUUCAGCAACACAGAGAAGGAUAGAACGAUGAUGGAAAGCACAGGGGGUUCAAAACCUCAACGCGAAGCUCGGCGUCCACUCGAUUGUGAUAGAGCGGCCGCGUAUGGCAAGAACCACGGCGGCGGUUCUUCCUCUACUCACGACGAGAUCCAAACUGCGACGACGACCGCAAAGAGAGCUCGUUGGCUUCACAGAUGAGGGAAAGGGCACGCGGGGAAGGUUCCUGAGCUUUUAUAGGAGCACGGUAGUCGAUCACGGCAACAAAUCCCGUGGUAAACGGGAUUGGGCUCGGUCCCGAUGUGAAGUCCUGCUUGGCCACGCGAGGAAGAAAGGUUGGAGGCACUGACUUGUGGGGCCCACCUGUCGGUGACCAAAAGCGCGGGACCCGCUUGCCAGCCAAGAGGGAGAGAGAGGACGGCGUGCUGGCUGGCCAUUUGGGCCGAAAGAGGGAAGCGAGGCUUGCUGCGCGCGCUGGGCCGAAGGGAAACAGAAGGGGGAGGGUUUUUUUCCUUUUUCUUUUGUUUGUUUUCUUUUUGUUUCUUUUUAUUUCAAAACCAUUUGAAACUCAUUUAAAAAUUGUUUUGAAUCCUUUUGAAUUUUGAGUUCAAAAACACUCAGCACAAUAAACCAAAAUACAGAAGCAUGAGUGCACAAAAAUGUUGCUACACCCUAAGAUAAAUUUUAUUUUGAUGAAGAAUAUUAUUUCCUAGGUUUCAUGAGAACCAAAAAUUCAUAAAUAAAUCAUUUUUCACCUAUUUUUAAAAUGAGCAAAAUUUUGGGUGUUACAAAUCUACCCCCCUAAAAAUGAAUCUCGUCCUCGAGAUUCGGAAGAGGCACGGAUUCCAAAAGAGAGAUAGGCAAAAGAUAUUGAUCACUAAUUCAACUCCACAACUGGUAUUCCAAAUGCGGACAAUUAUGUCUCAGGAUCACAACUUGUAAACAAAACUUCCAUAAAAUGUCUAUUAUUCGUAUUUGAUCAAGGUCCAUCUUGACUACCAACUUUUUGACUUACAACUCCGAGACAUGAUAGCUUAGCAUGGAUUUGCCUCCUUGGGUAGUAGUGGAUCUCCUUGAUACUCAAUUCUUUUCCCUGACGGUGCGGUUAAAAAUUUUCCACUAGGUAGCAUAGAUCACUCCUUUGUGUGCACAUAUCCAUCCAUUGCCAAGAACCAAAGAAAUGUCGAGUGACUCUAGCACAAUGAGGUUUACAGUGAAGUUUUCCUUCUUUAUGACAAGAUUGAUAUUUGAGCAAACCUGAUCUGCCUGUAUUUCUCCCAUUGGGGUUUGAACUAACAAAGGCUUUCUUGUCAGACACUUCACCCGUUCGAUUGUCUUUACCAGGUUGGCAGAUAUGAAAGAAUGCGAAGCACUUCGGUCAAACAGAGCAAAAACUAGCACUGAGUCCACUUGAAUAUAACCUCCCACCACUUUGGUGGCUCCUUGAAUGUUAUGUCUAUCCACAUUGUUCAGUCUUCCACUGAUAUAAUUUUGUUGUACUUUAUUUCCAGGAGCGGGCUUCUUACGAGCUUUCCUUUUACGCUUCCGCCGUUGUGGAUUUUGAUUUGAUUCAUUGUCAACUUGCUCUUCAAUAUUAUUAUUUGAUAACACUCAGCUUUGUCAUACUCAUAGCAUCUUUCUCCAAAAUCAAGAUGAUCAUAUUCUUCCCACCGAUCCAUGAGAGGCGUCAUAUUAUGCUCCGAAUCCAUGGGACACUACACUCCCUGUCAUCAAGUGACCAACGUCAGUAAUACGGCAAGGAUAGAUGAUCAUAACCGUAGAAUAUCUCAGAAGACAAUUAUCACUCCAAGCUAGUCUUAAAAUGCAUCACCCGUGAUAUCAAGGUACUACCCCCUUAAAAUUAGAUUGAUUGGGGAGACAUUAGGGACUAGUCCUCAUAACCUUUUUAGACGCCACACAUCAUAGUCUUUUACAUUCGUGGUACCGAGUCUCUUGAUCCAAGGUUAGUUUCAUCACUAAGUCCCAAUUAUCGGUAUCUUUAUCACAAUUAAGUUGUUUCACUCUCGCAUCCCAAUUAUAGCUUCGUAAACUUUGGUGUCAUCUGAUCCUCAUAAACAUAACUCUCAAUCCAUGAGUAUCAGCAAUGACAUAAACCUCCAUUGGUAUUAGCACACUCCAAAAGAGAAUGAUAUCCUAAAACAAACCAACAUACCAAGCACUUGAUGUCCUUGUAGAUGUUUUAACUGUUACCAAUCAUUCUCCUUGUAACUCCUUUAAUUAGGAUACCCCCUUAAGACAGGUCAACUAGGGGACACAAGAAAGGUAGCUUGAAUUUUUUUCCAGACAAGUCAACUAAUAUAGAGAACUUCUGACAUCCCAAAGAACUUAUGUGCAAGAGAGCAAACAAGUAUUCUGAAAUUUCCUCGCGAUAUGAAAGACACCAGCGUAGUAAUUUAGGCAUAACUCUUGUUCAGUUAAUCCAAUAGAGUUGUAGCUUAUACCAUUAGAAAGCUUAUGAAAUUCACCACAACUUUCCUGUAGAAGACCUCCUUAGAUUCUGUCUUUAAUCUUAGCUAAAAUAGCCAAACUUAAUAUCCUUCCUGAUAAUGUCUCAGCAAAGGUGCUGUAACUUCCAAAAAUUAUAUCUCGAGCUAAUUAACUCAUCUGGAGGUGAUCCUUACAUAUUUGAAAAUACUAGAAAAUCCUCUACAACUUUCGUAUACAACUUUUUCUCAGAUUCUGUCUUUAACUUGGCUGAAAUUAGAAAAAUGCCAGAUCUGUCUAAAUUUUGAAACAGAACAGAAACAUCCAAUUGUAAAUAUCAUAUCUCAGGUUCUACUUAUCCAAAUAAGUUCUAGCUUAUACCGUUGGAAAGAAUAGAAAAUUGUCUACAACUUUUCUAUAGAACACUUUUCCAAAUUCUAUAGUUAUAUUUGUCUCAAAUAGUAAGUAACCGAAACUGGUCCAGGUUCUUGACAGCACAGUUGUAUCAUCUUGUGAUUUUUGUAACUUCCAAACCAUAACAGCUAUGAGGGUGAUUCUUGUGGUCAGAGAAAGAUAUUGAAGUCUAGUUGUUCCCAGGAAAAUGUGGUAAACUUUGCACGAUCUGAUCUGGAUAUACACCAUGAUUAUUGCAGACUGCUCCAGAAAACAGCAAGGGAUAGAAACAAGAGAUAGCCAAACCAAACUACUUAUUUCACUAAUCCUUAUGCCUUAGGCCUAUGAACUAAUGAAAUUGUGAGGAAAUCCACAAGAUCAUUGCAAUCAUUACAAAGAUCCAAAUCAAGCAUAAACAUAAUAACAAACCAAUUAAGCACACUUCACUCAAUUUGCGAUACUAUCGUUCUCUUCAUAGUAAGGGUAAAUAUCUUAAAACACCUAUUCCAACGAUGCGAGAAGGUGGUAAGAAAAGGUUCUAAUAGCAUACCAAAUCAAGAAGUGAAGGUGAGAACAAGUACUUUUAAAACAAGCGACAAGGUAGAGACAAAUUGCAAGGAUAAGAUAUAGUAUGGAUGAAAAUACCAAAGUUUAUAGAGCAAUGAUUUUAUGACAAUUCCAAAACCUUAAGACGACCAAUUUCUAACUGGGCUUGCGUCCUACAGCCAGCAUUGCUUUGAUACCACUUUGUAAUACCCGAUUUUAAGAACAAAACCAGAUAUGCACCAUAUGUGAGUCUUAGAAGUCAAAUCUCACAUACAGCAACAAAUAAGGGGUAAUAUCAAAAGACAAUGCAUAAAUACAUAACGUACUUAGUAAAAAAAAGAUAACCUUUGAGAGCAAACAGCGGAUAAACAACUCCAAACUUCGGAUAUUAACUUCUCUCUACAGGAUCCAACUGACUGGUUGAUCACAAGCCUAAACUUCUCCUGAGGUUUGGGGGAAAUAGCAAGAGUGAGUCCAUGUCGAACUCAACAAGUAAAGUAGCUAGAUUGUAUAGCUCCCACAAUCUCAUGAUCAAUGUGACAUAAAUAAUGUAAAGCAUUAAAUAAUAAAUAAUGAGCAUAUUUAACACACAGGAAUCUUCAUCGUCGCAGCAAGAAUCCCCAAGGCCGCUUGAGCUCGGCUAGUAUACUAGUUUUUAACCCUCUGCAGAGGUUGCACAUCUUUACCCAUGAGUCAUGAUUUACCCUUUCGUCCGAGGUAGCUAGUCUCUUAACCCCUUCCUAGGGAGGUCGGCAGGGAUCACGAAGUCUUUCAAAGGUUUGUCUAACAAGUUAGGGCCAUUAGAUUCACUCGGCAGGCAGAUAUAGAGCCCCCCUUCCAUGGCACAUAACCCGCAGCCUAUACACACGGACAGAGGCCACACUAUACCCAACGUGUCUAGCCAUUCUUACGCCAUUUAAGGUAACCGCUAACAAGCUAGAAAAAGGUCCUCAUACUGAGCUAAAGCCAGAGCCAUUAUUGCCCUCAUGGUUGCACUGUUAUCCCGGGUGAUCACGUACAGGCAAAUCAUCAAGUUGCUAAAAGUCACUUUUAUCAUUUAUUACUUAACAUUAAUCUAGUCACAGGAUCAUGGUCACAGAAAUAAAAUCCAAAUGCUAUACUUGCAUUGAUCCAAAUGCUCUUGCUGAUCCUUUUGAUUCUGCUAGUCUUUACUUAUUGUCCAAGCUCUGAUCUUGAUCACCCAAAACUGCUCUCCGUCUAAACUCGAUCAUUGAUCACACAAACAAUCAAGAAAACAUACACGAAGCAAAUAAGGCUACAAUUAGAACAGUACACCAAUCAUAUAAAAACAAUAUGAAAAGUUUAUAAAAUGAUUCUACGCAUCGCUACGAUUUCACAGACGUAAAGAUCAUGAAAAUCGGAAUUAAAACGUAGAAGUUAUGAAUUUUCUAAGAUUUUGGAUAGAAAAGUAAUUAAUUAAUUAAGGUCACGAAAUUAAAAAGUUUCAAACUGAGAAAACCAUUUUUCUAACAUGUAGAGCUCAUGAAAACGAACCUAACGCAAUUUGAAUGGGUCAAAUCGGAGUUAGAAUGAAUAUUUUAUGGCCAAAAGAAAUCCAGUGGCAAACUUGUAGUUACAGAAAGCGUAUUUUCGGAGUCAAUCCGGUGCUUUCCGUUUUCCGAAAGAGAAAGCGUAUUUUUGAAAUCCGCUUUAGACUGCGGGUUUAUUUGGGAAAAGCUCAGGGACUCUUUAACAAAAGUGCCAAUGAAGGGGUACGUUCUAAUCUGGAUCGUUGAUCUUGAAUCGGACGACUGAGACUCAAUCUGUGGAAGAACAGGGUGGCUGCCGGCAACGCACAGGAGCCUCACGGUGGCUCCAUGGCCGGAAGUUCGCCGGCGCUCGUGGAGAAGGCACUAGGAACCAUGGUUUUGGAUGGGAAAAGAACCAGGGCGUAGAGGACCUUCGUGUGAACUCACCUAGGCGACUUUUGCGAUCGGAUAGAGUUUGGAAGAGGGCGGCAGCACGUCGAGGCGGAGCUUUGCGCUCCUGCGAAGUUCGGCGAGCAAUUCAGCAACACAGAGAAGGAUAGAACGAUGAUGGAAAGCAUAGGGGGGUUCAAAACCUCAACGUGAAGCUCGACGUCCACUCGAUUGUGAUAGAGCGGCCGCGUAUGGCAAGAACCACGGCGGCGGUUCUUCCUCUACUCGCGGCGAGAUCCAAACUGCGACGACGACCGCAAAGAGAGCUCGUUGGCUUCACAGAUGAGGGAAAGGGCACGCGGGGAAGGUUCCUGAGCUUUUAUAGGAGCACGGUAGUCGAUCACGGCAACAAAUCCCGUGGUAAACGGGAUUGGGCUCGGUCCCGAUGUGAAGUCCUGCUUGGCCACGCGAGGAAGAAAGGUUGGAGGCACUGACUUGUGGGGCUCUCCUGUCGGUGUGCGGGACCCGCUUGCCAGCCAAGGGAGAGAGAGAGGACGGCGUGCUGGCUGGCCAUUUGGGCCGAAAGAGGGAAGCGAGGCUUGCUGCGCGCGCUGGGCCGAAGGGAAACAGAAGGGGAGGGUUUUUUUUUCCUUUUUCUUUUGUUUGUUUUCUUUUUGUUUCUUUUUGUUUCAAAACCAUUUCAAACUCAUUUAAAAAUUCUUUUGAAUCCUUUUGAAUUUUGAGUUCAAAAACACUCAGCACAAUAAACCAAAAUACAGAAGCAUGAGUGCACAAAAAUGUUGCUACACCCUAAGAUAAAUUUUAUUUUGAUGAAGAAUAUUAUUUCCUAGGUUUCAUGAGCACCAAAAAUUCAUAAAUAAAUCAUUUUUCACCUAUUUUUAAAAUGAGCAAAAUUUUGGGUGUUACUCUAGAAAGUGUCAUACAAGGAAUCUCUGAGUUUUAUUUGAAAAAUCUUGCAAAAACUCUGGAGUAAUAGUUGAUCAAAGAGCGAGAAGCAUAGUGCUCAACUUAACUAUUCUGUCUUUCAACUGCUCAAAACCUAAGUCUGGCCGGUGGCGACAAAAUUGUUUGGCCCUCGAGCUUUUGGACUUGUUAUCGUGACGGUGGUCGCGGUUGUCGUAGCGCCGUUCUUCGUGGCGAUUAUUAUUGCGACUGGUGGUCAGAGCAAGUAGGCCAAACAACUUGGUCGUUAGCCCGAGCAGAUCGAUGUCGUCGAUCUGCCUCUCUUUGUAGUAGGGAAGCAGGUGACGCAUUGUCGGCGUGGUCGGAGACGCUCCUGGUGUGGUCGAAACCGUAGCCAGCGUGGUUGAAGCCGCCGCCGACGUCGAUGAAGAAGUGGUUGGCGCAGAUCGGAUCUACACCUCCUCCGUGGUCAUGGCGGUGAAGUUGUUGAGGCUCACGGUGAACGUGAAGUCGCCCGCCAUGGCCGCGAAGUCGGGGAUGAUGACCAUCU